Molecule: RNA transcript, 2330 nt
Organism: Cebus imitator (Panamanian white-faced capuchin)
Lineage: Eukaryota; Metazoa; Chordata; Mammalia; Primates; Cebidae
Exons: 4
Source: RefSeq, a predicted model, not a curated record
GUGAGGGACGUUUUCCCGGCUUGAGGGUCAUUGAAGGGUGAGAGCCGUGUUGCCGGUGGUGCGGGUCUGUAAAAGGUGAGGAGCCUGUUUCUGGAGCAGGAUAUAUGGAGGAUGAAUGACAUGGUUUCUGGGUGAGGUUAGCGCAGGAUGAGGGAAGCUGUGACGGAGCUGUGUCCUCUAAGGUAGGGGGCGUGGUCUCUGAGCAGGGUCCGCCAUUUUGUCUGGUGGAAGUUGGAAAUGGAGGGUCCAGGGACAAGCGAGACUCCCACUUCUGGCCUCAUCCUUAGCCCUGCCUUUACCCCACUUAUACUGCCAGAAAGCUGAGUGGUGGCAGUCACUUUAGGAUUCUUCCUGAGACGAUCCACCAAUAUGAAGUAAACUCGAGGAGGAGGAGCCCAGCCAUGGUGGCUGAGCCCCAGGUUUUCCAGUGUCUACACUCAGGGUUAUCUCCCCGCUGGAACAGGGAAAAAUGCAUGGGUCAUUGCUCUGCCAGGACCUCCCUGCACGGAUUCUCAGGUCAAGACAAAGCAUAAACAAGUAACCCCAACAGAAAAAUCUUCUGAAGAACAAUUACAAGGAGUAACUCAAGAAAUUUUCCCAAGAGGCAAUCCAGAGGAGUUUGAGUUUCGAUCAGCUUGCGGGAAUGAGACAGAAGCAGAACAUUACUGGAAAAAAUUCACAAUAAAGAGCAGGAUGAAGUUAUUUUCCCAAAAGAGAGGUUUGAGGCAAGUGGUCAGCUCCUGCUUCAAAACCAAUGCAGCAGAGAAAUACCAGAAAUGUAACAAAUUGGAGAAAAGUUUGUGUCUGGGCACAAAGCCUUUUGUACCUCUAAGGGACAGGCCAGGAGAGAGAGCCAGUGGUUGGAGGUUGGGUGGCUGAAGCUUUCCAUGUGAGUCGUGUAUGAUUAGACAUCAGGCAGUUACCAGUGGGUCAAAGCUCCAUGGAUGUCAUGUGUGUGGGAAAUCUUUCAACAAGAACUCACGCCUUACUUGGCAUCAGAUAAUUCAUACUACAGAGAAGCCCUACGUAUGUAUCAAAUGUGGGGAAAAACCACAACUCAAGCCUUACACAACAUCAGAAAAUAUCACUGUGGAUGGUGAAAUCCUGUCUCUACUAAAAAUACAAAAAUUAGCUGGGUGUGGUGGUGCAUGCCUAUAAUCCUAGCUACUCAGGAGGCUAAGGCAAGAGAAUUGCUUGAACCAGGGAGGCGGAGGUUACAGUGAACUGAGAUUGUGCCCUUGCACUCUACACUGGGUGACAGAGCAAGACUCCAUCUCAAAAAAAAAAAAAAGAAAAUUCAUGGUGGAGAGAAACCCUGUGUGUAGUAAUGUGGCAAGGGCUUUUAGGGAGACAUGAAAGCUUGUUAAAUAUCAGAGAAUUCAUACUGGAGAAAAGCCGUAUAGGUGGAAUGGAUGUGGCAGAGCCUUUAGUGGGAAUUCAAACCUUAUUAAACACCAACUGAUAUAUAUUGGAGAGAAGCCCUAAAAAUGUAAUGAGUGUGGGAAAGCCUUUAAUCCAAAAGCAAAUCCCAUGCAGUAUCAGAGAAUUCAUACAGGAGAGAAACUUUUUUUUUUGUCUUUUUUUUUGUGCCACAACUCGGAUACGGAGAGAAACUUUUUGAAUGUAAAGACUGUGGAAAAAGUUUCAACCAGCCAUGACACUUGAUUCAUAAUCAAAGGCUGUAUUCUUGAGAGAAGCCCUAGAAAUGCAAUGAGUGUGGAAGGGGCUUCAAACAUCACACCUGAUUGAUCACCAAAGAAUACACACUGGAGAGGAAACUUACAUGUGUGUUAUGUGUGGGAGAGGCUUUAUUCAGAUGUCAUACUUAAUUCAUCACCACAGAACACAUUUCUGUAGAGAAGCCACAUGCAUGUAGUGAAUGUGGGAAAUGGUUCAACCAGAGCUCAACCCUUAUUAGACAUUAGGUUAUUCACACUAUGGAUACCAAGUAUAAGUUAAAGAAUCUGGACAGGCUUUCAUUGUGAGCUAGCUUCUCAGUCACUAUCUCACAAAUCCUAAUUGAUAGGAACCCCUCACUUCAUACAGGAGGGAAAAGCAUCCAAGAAUGCAACAGAGGUGGGAAGCCUUUCAUUGUAAUUCAUUAUACAAUGUCUGGAAGUUCCUAUUGGAGAAAACCCCCAUGGAUGUAAUGAAUGUUGAAAAAGCAUUUAUUUGGAACUCACAUUAUUUACAACGAGAUGAUUCAUACAGGAUAUAAUGGAUAUAAGCGAGGCUUUGGUGUACUAUGGGAAGUAGGUGGAAAUGUGGGUUCCUGCUGUUGCCAGCUGCUCCCUUUUGAAUAAAGUGCCCUAGCAGGUGCUUGCCUCAGG